CGAAUUUAGAAAGGGCAAUUGGUGGAUGCCUUGGCGACACCAGGCGAAGAAGGACGUGACAAGCUGCGAUAAGCCUCGGGGAGCGGCACAUACGCUUUGAUCCGGGGAUUUCCGAAUGGGGCAACCCGAUAACCGUACACUGAACAAAAUAGGUGUAUAGGAGCGAACCCGCCGAAUUGAAACAUCUUAGUAAGCGGAGGAAAAGAAAGCGAAAGCGAUUCCGUAAGUAGUGGCGAACGAAAGCGGAGCAGCCCAAACCUCUGGGAUUUAUCCCGGAGGGGUUAGGACUCUCAACAUAGAUACCGAAAAGGCUAGGAGAAUCUUCUGGAAAGGAGAGCCAUAGGAGGUGAAAGCCCUGUAACUUAAAGCUGGAUUGGGUCUGGGAGUAUCCAGAGUAGCACGGGACACGUGAAACCCCGUGUGAAUGAGCGCCGACCACGGCGUAAGGCUAAAUACUCGGUGUCGACCGAUAGUGAACAAGUACCGUGAGGGAAAGGUGAAAAGAACCCCUGUUAGGGGAGUGAAAAAGUACCUGAAACCAAUUGCCUACAAUCAGUCGAAGCACCGCAAGGUGUGACGGCGUACCUUUUGUAUAAUGGGCCUAGGAGUUAUUGUUUGUGGCGAGCUUAAGUGUUUAAGGCACGUAGGCGCAGGGAAACCGAGUCUGAAUAGGGCGAGUAAAGUCGCAGGCAAUAGACCCGAAGCGGAGGUGAUCUAUCCAUGGCCAGGUUGAAGCUUUAGUAAAAUAAAGUGGAGGACCGAACCGGUCACUCUUGAGAAAGUGUCGGAUGAGCUGUGGAUCGGAGCGAAAGACUAAUCAAACCCCGCGAUAGCUGGUUCUUUCCGAAAUAUAUUUAGGUAUAGCCUCGUUGCGCUGAUGACUGGGGGUAGAGCACUGAAAAGGCAAGGGCCCAUACCCGGGUACCAACCCUUACCAAACUCCGAAUACCAGUCAAAGAAGCACGGGAGUCAGACUGUGGGGGAUAAGCUUCAUAGUCGAGAGGGAAACAGCCCAGACCACCAUUUAAGGCCCCUAAACAAUGCUAAGUGGAAAAGGAUGUGAAUUUACACAGACAAUAGGGAUGUUGGCUUAGAGGCAGCCACCAUUUAAACAGUGCGUAAUAGCUGACCUAUCGAGUGAAUUUGCGCCGAAGAUGAUCGGGACUAAGCAUUGUGCCGAAGAUGUGGGCUUGCAGAAAUGUGAGCGGUAGGAAAGCGUUCCUGAGCCAUUGAAGCCAAAGCCGGCAAGGCAUGGUGGAGGGUCAGGAAGUGAAAAUCUAGGCUUGAGUAACGAUAAAACCGGUUAGAAUCCGGUUCGCCGUAAGGAUAAGGUUUCCCGGGCAAGGUUCGUCCGCCCGGGGUUAGUCGGGAGCUAAGGCGAGGCCGUAAGGAGUAGUCGAUGCAAAGCAGGUUAAUAUUCCUGCACCAAGUGAAGAGGACGAAGGGUGAAAGCGCACUAUCUUAUUGAAUUGGGACUCCGAGGCUACGGCCGAGGGGGUAUGCGUGGAAGCACUUCCAGGAAAAGCCUUCACAAUAAAGCCCGUACCGCAAACCGACACAGGUAUCCGGGAAGAAUAUUCUCAGGCGCGUGAGUUAAAUCUCUCUAAGGAACUCGGCAAAUUGGCCCUGUAUCUUCGGUAAAAAGGGUGCCCCGCGAGGGGCCGCAGUGAAAAAGGCCAACCGACUGUUUAGCAAAAACACAGCUCUCUGCAAACACGCAAGUGGACGUAUAGGGAGUGACACGUGACCAAUGCGGAAAGGUGAAAGCUGGCGGUGCAAGCCUCUGGUCUAAGCCUCCGUGAAUGUCGGCCGUAACUAUAACGGUCCUAAGGUAGCGAAAUUCCUUGUCG
Molecule: ribosomal RNA, 1850 nt
Filed under: activated sludge metagenome
Description: bacterial LSU rRNA
Rfam family: Bacterial large subunit ribosomal RNA
Source: RNAcentral